This 150-nucleotide non-coding RNA is filed under the name Triticum urartu. Its description in RNAcentral is "Bacterial large subunit ribosomal RNA". It matches the Rfam family "Bacterial large subunit ribosomal RNA", at positions 2657 to 2813 of the family's 2925-position model. Lineage: Eukaryota; Viridiplantae; Streptophyta; Magnoliopsida; Poales; Poaceae. The record is from Rfam by way of RNAcentral.
GAGCAAUGCGAGGAGCCAGCCCUAGUAUGAGAGGACUGGGCUGGGUCAACCUAUGGUGUACUGGUUGUUAUGCCAAUAGCAGCGUCGGGCGGCUAAGUUGGUACGGAAGAACUACUGCGUCAUGGGAAAUCCUUCUCUAUACAAGUUCUC